This 253-nucleotide ribosomal RNA is filed under the name uncultured bacterium. RNAcentral's name for it is "partial 16S ribosomal RNA". It matches the Rfam family "Bacterial small subunit ribosomal RNA", at positions 524 to 776 of the family's 1533-position model. The record is from RNAcentral.
AACGUAGGAGGCAAGCGUUAUCCGGAGUUACUGGGCGUAAAGCGUGCGUAGGCGGGAGCGUAAGUGGGUGGUGAAAGCGCCCGGCUAAACCGGGCGAGGACCAUUCAGACUGCGUUUCUAGAGGCGGAUAGAGGGGUGCGGAAUUCCGGGUGUAGCGGUGAAAUGUGUAGAGAUCCGGAGGAACACCAGUGGUGCAAACGGCGCCCUGGGUCCGAACUGACGCUGAAGCACGAAAGCGUGGGGAGCGAACGGG